UACGUAGGGGGCUAGCGUUGUCCGGAAUCAUUGGGCGUAAAGCGCGUGUAGGCGGUCCGGUAAGUCCGCUGUGAAAGUCGGGGGCUCAACCCUCGGAUGCCGGUGGAUACUGUCGGGCUUGAGUACGGAAGAGGCGAGUGGAAUUCCUGGUGUAGCGGUGAAAUGCGCAGAUAUCAGGAGGAACACCAAUUGCGAAGGCAGCUCGCUGGGACGUUACUGACGCUGAGACGCGAAAGCUAGGGGAGCGAACAGG
Molecule: ribosomal RNA, 253 nt
Filed under: uncultured bacterium
Lineage: Bacteria
Description: partial 16S ribosomal RNA
Rfam family: Bacterial small subunit ribosomal RNA
Source: RNAcentral